CCCUACGGGGCGCACCAGGCGCGCAAACUUUACAAUGCGAGCAAUCGUGAUAAGGAAACCCUGAGUGCCUGUCGAUGCAGGCUGUUCAUAUAUCUAAAUCAUAUGUGAAGAAAGGGCAGGGCAAGACCGGUGCCAGCCGCCGCGGUAAUACCGGCUGCUCGAGUGAUGGCCACUAUUACUGGGUUUAAAGCGUCCGUAGCUUGACUGUUAGGUCUCUUGGGAAAUCUUCACGCUCAACGUGAAGGCGUCUAAGAGAUACCGGCAGUCUUGGAACUGGGAGAGGUAAACCGUACUUCGGGGGUAGGAGUGAAAUCUUGUAAUCCUCGAGGGACGACCUAUGGCGAAGGCAGUUUACCAGAACAGCUUCGACAGUGAGGGACGAAAGCUGGGGGAGCAAACGGGAUUAGAUACCCCGGUAGUCCCAGCCGUAAACAAUGUGCGUUAGGUGUGUCGGUAACCACGUGUUACUGAUGCGCCGAAGAGAAAUCGUGAAACGCACCACCUGGGAAGUACGGUCGCAAGGCUGAAACUUAAAGGAAUUGGCGGGGGAGCACCACAACAGGUGGAGCCUGCGGUUUAAUUGGAUUCAACGCCGGACAUCUCACCGGAUAAGACAGCUGAAUGAUUGUCAAUCUGAAGGUUUUACAUGACUAGCUGAGAGGAGGUGCA
This 669-nucleotide ribosomal RNA is filed under the name uncultured archaeon. RNAcentral describes it as "bacterial SSU rRNA". It matches the Rfam family "Archaeal small subunit ribosomal RNA", at positions 321 to 994 of the family's 1478-position model. The record is from RNAcentral.